GCGCCCGUAGCUCAAUGGAUAGAGCGUUAGCUUGCGGAGCUAAAGAUUACAGGUUCAAGUCCUGUCGGGCGCACCA
Molecule: transfer RNA, 76 nt
Filed under: Candidatus Parcubacteria bacterium
Lineage: Bacteria; Candidatus Parcubacteria
Description: tRNA-Arg
Rfam family: tRNA
About the family: Transfer RNA (tRNA) molecules are approximately 80 nucleotides in length. Their secondary structure includes four short double-helical elements and three loops (D, anti-codon, and T loops).
Source: RNAcentral